This 253-nucleotide ribosomal RNA is filed under the name uncultured bacterium. Its description in RNAcentral is "partial 16S ribosomal RNA". It matches the Rfam family "Bacterial small subunit ribosomal RNA", at positions 524 to 776 of the family's 1533-position model. The record is from RNAcentral.
UACAGAGGUCUUAAGCGUUGUUCGGAUUCAUUGGGCGUAAAGGGUGCGUAGGUGGCGCGCUAAGUCAGGUGUGAAAUUUCGGAGCUUAACUCCGAAACUGCAUUUGAUACUGGCGUGCUUGAGGACUGGAGAGGAGACUGGAAUUUACGGUGUAGCGGUGAAAUGCGUAGAUAUCGUAAGGAAGACCAGUGGCGAAGGCGGGUCUCUGGACAGUUCCUGACGCUGAGGCACGAAGGUCAGGGGAGCAAACGGG